UCCUCCAAGGCUAAAUACUCCUGACUGACCGAUAGUGAACCAGUACCGUGAGGGAAAGGCGAAAAGAACCCCGGCGAGGGGAGUGAAAAAGAACCUGAAACCGUGUACGUACAAGCAGUGGGAGCACGCUUAGGCGUGUGACUGCGUACCUUUUGUAUAAUGGGUCAGCGACUUAUAUUCUGUAGCAAGGUUAACCGAAUAGGGGAGCCGAAGGGAAACCGAGUCUUAACUGGGCGUUAAGUUGCAGGGUAUAGACCCGAAA
RNAcentral lists this ribosomal RNA (262 nucleotides) under Escherichia coli. RNAcentral describes it as "partial 23S ribosomal RNA". It matches the Rfam family "Bacterial large subunit ribosomal RNA", at positions 456 to 720 of the family's 2925-position model. The record is from RNAcentral. Lineage: Bacteria; Pseudomonadati; Pseudomonadota; Gammaproteobacteria; Enterobacterales; Enterobacteriaceae.